AGGACUAACGCUGGCGGCGUGCCUAACACAUGCAAGUCGAACGAGGGGUAGCAAUACCCCUAGUGGCAGACGGGUGAGUAACACGUAGUCAACCUACCUCUUAAUGGGGGAUAACUAGCCGAAAGGUUAGCUAAUACCGCAUACGAUCGUCGAGUGGCAUCACACGACGAUGAAAGGAGCAAUCCGUUGAGAGAGGGGACUGCGUCCCAUUAGUUAGUUGGUGGGGUAAUGGCCUACCAAGACUCCGAUGGGUAGCUGGCUUGAGAGAGCGACCAGCCACACUGGAACUGAGACACGGUCCAGACUCCUACGGGAGGCAGCAGUGAGGAAUUUUCCGCAAUGGGGGAAACCCUGACGGAGCGACGCCGCGUGUGGGAAGAAGGCCUUCGGGUCGUAAACCACUGUCGAGGGGGACGAGUAUUGACGGUACCCCUGGAGGAAGCCCCGGCUAACUACGUGCCAGCAGCCGC
This 470-nucleotide ribosomal RNA is filed under the name uncultured bacterium. RNAcentral's name for it is "SSU rRNA". It matches the Rfam family "Bacterial small subunit ribosomal RNA", at positions 26 to 518 of the family's 1533-position model. The record is from RNAcentral.